CCAAUAGCGUAUAUUAAAGUUGUUGCAGUUAAAAAGCUCGUAGUUGAAUUUCGGGAUUGACACAUCGGUCGUGCCUUAAGGGGUAUGAACUGGUGUAGUCAAUUUCUCACCUUCUGGAGAACCGUGAUGCCCUUAAUUGGGUGUCGCGGGGAACCAGGACCUUUACUUUGAAAAAAUUAGAGUGUUUAAAGCAGGCAUUU
This 200-nucleotide ribosomal RNA is filed under the name uncultured Glomus. RNAcentral describes it as "partial small subunit ribosomal RNA". It matches the Rfam family "Eukaryotic small subunit ribosomal RNA", at positions 591 to 789 of the family's 1831-position model. Lineage: Eukaryota; Fungi; Glomeromycota; Glomeromycetes; Glomerales; Glomeraceae. The record is from RNAcentral.